RNAcentral lists this ribosomal RNA (253 nucleotides) under uncultured bacterium. RNAcentral's name for it is "partial 16S ribosomal RNA". It matches the Rfam family "Bacterial small subunit ribosomal RNA", at positions 524 to 776 of the family's 1533-position model. The record is from RNAcentral.
UACGUAGGGGGCAAGCGUUGUCCGGAAUUAUUGGGCGUAAAGAGCGCGUAGGCGGUCCGAUAAGUCGGCUGUGAAAGUCAGGGGCUCAACCCUUGGAAGCCGGCCGAUACUGUCGGACUAGAGUCCGGAAGAGGCGAGUGGAAUUCCCGGUGUAGCGGUGAAAUGCGCAGAUAUCGGGAAGAACACCCGUGGCGAAGGCGGCUCUCUGGGACGGUACUGACGCUGAGACGCGAAAGCGUGGGGAGCGAACAGG